This 1039-nucleotide long non-coding RNA is filed under the name Malus domestica (apple). RNAcentral describes it as "long non-coding RNA (MDOM_LNC012078)". Lineage: Eukaryota; Viridiplantae; Streptophyta; Magnoliopsida; Rosales; Rosaceae. The record is from RNAcentral.
AUUAUAUGUGUGUGAAAGACCUUUUUUAUAACCGACAUUACACGCAUCUUAAGAUGUUUUGAACGUGUUUAAAAAUAGAGAAGAUAAUAUUUAAUAAACAGCUGUUUAAUCACAUUAUUGCUAACUUAUUGUAAGGUACUAAUUUAAAAAUAAAUAAAUAAACUGUACAAAAAAAACUAAUUAUUAAAAAAUACUAUUAAAAUGACAAGAAUACCCCUGCAUUAUUUGAUGUAUUAUAUUAGAUUGCUUUUGAAGUUUUUUGUUUGAGGGGCAUUUUUGUCCAAAUAUGUUUGUUGAAACUCGUGACACCAAAAACACUAUUCACUUUUGUGUCCUCUUUAUAUAUAGAAGAUAAUAUACUCACAAACAUUUAAAAAUAUAGAUAAGGGUGUGCUUGUCUUUUCAGCCUAGUUUAUAGACAAGAACUAAGAUUAUUUUUCAAACAAUAUUUUUGUUCACUACUCUCAAAUAAUAGUGAUGUACAACCACCAUAUUUAGUAUUGUUGGAUGAGUUUAAAUUUUAGAAUUUGUGUAGUGGAUAAAAAUAAAUCUCAAUUUUUUUUUUUUAACAAAUGAUAUUAUCUACAAUAAGUGGAAAGGAUGAGCUAAACCUCACAAUGAACUAGGAAUAAAGUGGUUGAAAUUCGUCUUUGACGAAAAUCGAAUCUAAGACCUCUCACUUACAAGUAAAGAGGUAACAAAUUUCAAAAUUUAAGCUCACUCAUCCAGUAACAAUAAAUAGAAUUAUGAAUAUUACCAAAUGGUGUAAUAAGCAAAAAUGCAACCCUUUUUUUAGUCAAUUUUCCCUAUUGUCUGUCUUUUCACAUUCUAUACAAAUAUCCAUAAAAUACAAUCAAUUUUCCAUACCCUACCGUUUGUGCCUGCCUUUCUUUUUCCAUUUUUUUAUAAAAAAAAAAUUAUUUUACCUACCGUUUGUGCCUUUUUUUUUUAUAUAAAAAAAAUUGUUUGACUUUUAAAAUUUUCAAUUACUUUAAAGGAAAACUAAUUAAAAGUGUUUCAAAUCUUUACAUUUUAAUAA